ACGCUGGCGGCGUGCCUAAUACAUGCAAGUAGAACGCUGAAAGAGGAGCUUGCUUCUCUGGAUGAGUUGCGAACGGGUGAGUAACGCGUAGGUAACCUGCCUGGUAGCGGGGGAUAACUAUUGGAAACGAUAGCUAAUACCGCAUAAGAGUAGAUGUUGCAUGACAUUUGCUUAAAAGGUGCAAUUGCAUCACUACCAGAUGGACCUGCGUUGUAUUAGCUAGUUGGUGGGGUAACGGCUCACCAAGGCGACGAUACAUAGCCGACCUGAGAGGGUGAUCGGCCACACUGGGACUGAGGCACGGCCCAGACUCCUACGGGAGGCAGCAGUAGGGAAUCUUCGGCAAUGGACGGAAGUCUGACCGAGCAACGCCGCGUGAGUGAAGAAGGUUUUCGGAUCGUAAAGCUCUGUUGUAAGAGAAGAACGAGUGUGAGAGUGGAAAGUUCACACUGUGACGGUAUCUUACCAGAAAGGGACGGCUAACUACGUGCCAGCAGCCGCGGUAAUACGUAGGUCCCGAGCGUUGUCCGGAUUUAUUGGGCGUAAAGCGAGCGCAGGCGGUUAGAUAAGUCUGAAGUUAAAGGCUGUGGCUUAACCAUAGUACGCUUUGGAAACUGUUUAACUUGAGUGCAAGAGGGGAGAGUGGAAUUCCAUGUGUUGCGGUGAAAUGCGUAGAUAUAUGGAGGAACACCGGUGGCGAAAGCGGCUCUCUGGCUUGUAACUGACGCUGAGGCUCGAAAGCGUGGGGAGCAAACAGGAUUAGAUACCCUGGUAGUCCACGCCGUAAACGAUGAGUGCUAGGUGUUAGACCCUUUCCGGGGUUUAGUGCCGCAGCUAACGCAUUAAGCACUCCGCCUGGGGAGUACGACCGCAAGGUUGAAACUCAAAGGAAUUGACGGGGGCCCGCACAA
Molecule: ribosomal RNA, 911 nt
Filed under: uncultured bacterium
Lineage: Bacteria
Description: bacterial SSU rRNA
Rfam family: Bacterial small subunit ribosomal RNA
Source: RNAcentral